Parus major (Great Tit) is the source of this 4440-nucleotide long non-coding RNA. RefSeq lists it as uncharacterized. NCBI's taxonomy places the organism in Eukaryota, Metazoa, Chordata, Aves, Passeriformes, Paridae. The record is from RefSeq and is a predicted model, not a curated record. The transcript is spliced from 2 exons.
GGAGCGAGCGCAGCAUCCGCCUGCGCCACCGCCCGCCCCUUUCCAAAGCGACAUCCGCGCCACCUGCCGCCCCGCCCCGCCCGGCCCGGCCCGGCCCGGCGCCAGAGAUACCCUCCUCGGCAGGCAGAGGCGCCCGGGGCAAGCCAUCAGCACUCGAGGAGCCCCGGCUGGACCGGGGGAAGCAGCGGAGCUGGCGGAGCCCCAGGCGGGCCGGGCCGAGCCCGGGGAGGCACCCUGCCACCGAGCGGCCCCGACAGUGACUCCGGCGGUGUGGCCGCACGCUGCCGAACGGCGGGUUAAGUGCCAGAAAAGCAAUCCAGCUCCUCGAUUUUUCCAUGCUCGCCGACCUCAAACUAUGCUCACGUUGGAAGGGGAAUUUGUAAACGGGCAGGUUGCGAUGCAGGACCGACCCCAGCCGGGCUCAGGAGGGACAAGGCCCGGCCUCCGGGAGUCCCUCAUGGUGGGAGUGCACCGCAGGCAGAUACACUGAGAGGUGUCUUGCACGCAAGGCCUGCAUAUAAACAUCCUUUCACUGAUGCUAUAUGCCUACUUUUGCCUCAGAGAUCUCACGUUGAGAGAUAUUGCCAAGAACGUUUCAUCGUGCUGAAAUGAGCUGAAUGACAUAUCAGAACUUCUAGAAGUCAUCCAUGCAAAUGUGUCUAACAGCAUGGAUCCCUUACAAAAAUUCAGUGAUCUAUCCACAUUUAACACCGUGAAAAAAGUGUUCAUGGUCAUCAGAAUAACCAAUAAAUGGGAGAAAAAUCAUAGUCUGGUCUAAGAUGCUUCCUGAGCAGGACUUUUAUACAAGAUGCUGUCAAACUGAUCAAAGUUCUGAGGGGAGCACUGAGACGGUUGGUGACCAUCUGCAAGCAGCAGCUGCAGGGUGAGGCUUUUUGAGCCUGGAGCAGAUAGCUUCAAGGGCAAUUAAUUGCAACCUCCAGUAUCUCAGAGAGAAGGGGUGGAAAAGAUGGAAGUGGGCUUACCACAGCAGACCACAGCAGAAGGGCAACAGACAAAAGACAUCAACUGAAACAGGAAAUUCCUGAUGGAUGUUAGAAACAACAUGUUUUCCCACUGAAGAUAAGUCAAGAGGCAGAGCAGGUUGCAAAGAGAGCUUGUGCAGUCCACCCUUGGAGAUUCUCAAGAUGAUCUGGUGCAAUCUCACAUCUGACCCUCCUUUAAGCAAGAGAUUGGACCAGAGGUCUCCCUACAUCCCUUCUAGCCUGAAUGAUUCAGUGCUGCUACAGAAGUCAUUAUGUCUGGUUUCUGAGGUUAUGUAAGGUGAUAUAUCAAUUAUCCUGAUUAUCCUGCAUACAAGGAUGAAGUUCCAAGCUCCAGAGAUUCACUUGUCUAGUUUCCUGAGAUAGGGCAAUAUAUGCCUCUUUUUUAUUAAUUAAAAUUAUCUGUGUUACCUGUUUCUCCUAUGUCAUCCAUACUCAUUUCAUCCAGCAUAGAAGCAUUUUCAUAUAACUAACUGGAUCGGUAUAUGCAAAAUGCAAGAAUAUUUGUGCACCUCUGAAUACAAGUAAGCUGAAGUCUCGUUAGAAAAAGUUCAAAAAGACAUUAAUGGAAGAGCUCUUACCCAGGAAAAUUACAAACCUGCUGAUUAUUAUGGUGAUAUUCCUAAAUUCUGGCUAUGAAAAUUAUGUUAAAUUUCAGAAUUCCAACAGCAUAGCAUGCUGGAAAGUCAAGAUGUUGACACUAAGUCAACACUUAAAUGCAAUUUUAAAAAAUGCUUUUAAAAAAAAACAAAACAAAAAAUGGACAGGGUAAGCAGUCUAACCCUGUUUUAAUGACUAAUGACAGAUGUCUCUUGUCCUCUGACUUUGGUGAGUACCAAAUCUGCACAGAUUUAUACAGAGAGCAAUCUAGGUUUAACAGUUGAUACAUAUGUUAGGUAGAAAAUACAAUCAGUGAUACUGAGAAACGAGAAGACCAAGUUGGAUGGCGGUCUGAGUGACCUGGUCUAAUGUUCCCUGCCUAUGACAGAAGGGUUUGAAACUGGAUUAUUUUUAAGGUCCCUUCCGACCCAAACCAUUCUAUGUUCUAUUAGAAGAGAUCAAAAAUCAUAAAUAGAUUAAACUUACCUUAAACGUGUAAUCUUAAAAAUUUGUACAACUGUCUGGUCUUCGCUGUAUUCUCUGUAAGUUCAUAUUAUGCACUAAGGUGAGCUUUUAGCUUCUUCUUUAGCUAUAGGGGAAACCCAUUUCUAUUUUUUUUAACAUGGAAGAUGACUCUAUUAUGUAGUUGAUUUCAAGAACAGGAACUUCAAAAAGAAGAUAGAACAUUGAAUCUGAAAUUACAGUUAGGAGCAAAUUCUUGUACUUUGAUUAGAGCUAGCUACACAAUAUGAACAGGGGUUGUAAAGAACUCCAACUCUAUUGUGGAAGAAAUGAAACAGAAAAGGAAAGGAAAGAAAAAAAUACACGCCAUGUAUUGCAUGUAUGUGUACAUGCUGACUUCUUGUAGUAAUUGUUUUCUACACACAAGUAGGAACCUCUAAAUGUGUCAGCAUGUGGUUAUCUGACUCCAAUAGCAGGCACAAGAGGUACUGCCAAAAACUGAGGAAGGAAAGUGUCUGUUUUGCUAAUACCAGCAGUGCAAUAAAUGUCCUAAUUCUGCUAGGAAAUUAUGACUGAGUAAAACCAUGGUUGUAUAUCCUUCUUCACUGUGAUGGUUUAAUUUUAUCACCAUAAUAUUUUCCUUGAUGUUUUAUUGAUAAUUUUCCUUUUGUUAAACAUCGACCAAGCUAAAACUAUUCUGCACAUGAAACAUGCAAGCAGAAUAAAAUAAACAGUGAAAACCAAAAUCAGUGGCAGGCUGAAAAGAGACUGUUAUCCAAUGUCCACAUCUUAACCCAAGUCAACUUGAAGAAACUGGCAUGCUCUCCUAGCAAAAUCAUAACUAUUAUGUUUAUAUCAUUUCAGCUCAGAUGCAUGAUGAUACACAGAGGUAUAAUAUUAACUGGACAUGAAGACAAAUGUUCAGUUUGUGGAUCAAGAAUCUCACCAAUUCAAGAAAGAUGUCACCAGUUUCACAUGUUUUUUCCUGAAAAAAAUAGUUCUGUCUCUGUAUCACUGAAAAGUCCUCUAGGCUGCCUCUUAUGAUUGUCUACCAGGAUGAACAGGGAGAGGAAUGAUCCACAGAUGAUGUUCAGGAAAACCUAUUUACAGAUUUAAGGAAAGCACCUAUCUAGCAGUGCUGUUCUGAUUUGGAGUGCCAGUUACGCCAGUAAUACCACCCAGGAUGUUUUUCUAAUGGCAGAUGGCUUUUUAAGUGCUCAGUGUGAGCCUGAGGGCUCUCAGUUUUCUCUUAACAUUCUUUUUGUAAUGCAUCUUUAUCUUCUUGUCCAGAUGAGACAUAAAAUAGCAACAGGGUUUACAAUGACUAUCAGGAGGCUAAAUUCAUGUUGUAUUUAUUUACUAGACCAGACAUGUAAAGCCCACCUGCUUUUCAUCAAGUAUUCUAUUUAAAGAUUAAAUUCUAGGAUUCUCAAUAGCAUACUCCAGACAGUACAAACAAUAAGGUAGGCUUGAGGCCACAGAUAUACUGGCAGGCUUGGCUGGUUUGACCAGGUCAAAGGCAGUAAAGUUUUUUUUCCUGCUGUCAGCAGCCUCUCUCCCCUCAAUUGCUUUGUCUUUUCCCCACUGUGCUUUACCUUGGCAAGGAUAACUUGUGUCUGCCUGUACAUAGGCACACAUGAAACUACAAUAGAACAAGACCAUUCUAGAAGAUGUAAAAAACCCCAAACAUCCAGCUGUCUUUUCAAAAAGGGUACUUCCUUACAUAUGCUAUUAGAGCUCAUGUCUUGUACUGCAGAGAUUGGAGAGGGCAGGCUUGUAAGAUAAUACAUAAGCUUUACUGCAUCAAAAGCCUUCAAAGCAGUCAAGUUUUAUGAGGGUGCCAUAAACAGAAUUGUGGGAACAAAGGACACUUGUGAUACAAAGCAGAAGCCUUUGCUAAAUGGCUGUUAAAUGAAAAAUCAAAAAUCCAAUCAAGGAGAAAGACUGUAACUAGAGAUACAGAAUCUUUAUACAAUUGGAUAUGGAAAUCCCAACCAAUCUAAAAUGUUUAAAGACUCCUCAAGAUGCAUUUUAUUUGUUUGUGUGGGUUUUUUGUGACAUAUACAAUAAAUAGAGAAAGGGAGUGUUUAGGAUGGAUAUGUAUCAGUAGCACUGCCAUAUGGAAAUAAAAACAGCACUCUGGAAGAUCUUGGUUCAAACCUAAGGAGACAGCAUGCACAUACUAUUUUGACUUAGGGGGGAAAGAACCCAACAUGUAAAUCACUAUUCUACCUCAGUCUCUAGUGACUAGAACUGCCCAUGGUCAUUCUGAAAUCACAAGAUCAUAGAAUCACAGAAUCACGAGGUUGGGUGACCUGCAAAUCAUGAAGUCCAACCCAUACCCUAACCAUACCCUCAAUUAAACUGUGGGACUGAG